UUUUGAGAUUUUUUUUCAAUUUUAAAAAAAAAAAAAAAAAAAAAAAAAA
RNAcentral lists this non-coding RNA (49 nucleotides) under Ctenophora environmental sample. Lineage: Eukaryota; Metazoa; Ctenophora. The record is from RNAcentral.